Molecule: long non-coding RNA, 360 nt
Filed under: Ananas comosus (pineapple)
Lineage: Eukaryota; Viridiplantae; Streptophyta; Magnoliopsida; Poales; Bromeliaceae
Description: long non-coding RNA (ACOM_LNC010947)
Source: RNAcentral
UAAAUAGUUAAAUUUUGGAAAGAAUUUAAAAUUAAAAUAAUAAUUAAGGUAAAUUAUACUUUUGGUCCGAGACUUGUAACACUUUACUCUUUAAAUUUUAAUUAAUUAUAAUUUUUAUCCCGAACUAUAAGACUCGUGAUAUUUUAGUGAUCAAACUUUUUAAAUUAUUACAAUUAAGUGACACAGUCUAAUAUUUUUCAAUAAGUAUUGAUAUAUUACUAAUAUCCAAGUAAUUUAGCACUUUAAUUAUUGUUACAUCAUCAAGUAGGAUACUGUUACAACUCAUAAAAUUCGAGAACUAUAGAUUUAAAGUGUCGCGCGCUUCAUAGUUUGUGAACCAAAAGUGUAAUUUAUCCUAAU